Molecule: ribosomal RNA, 233 nt
Filed under: uncultured Candidatus Saccharibacteria bacterium
Lineage: Bacteria; Candidatus Saccharimonadota
Description: partial 16S ribosomal RNA
Rfam family: Bacterial small subunit ribosomal RNA
Source: RNAcentral
UAAGCAGAUAGUGAAGCGUGUGGCUCAACCAUACUCACAUUAUCUGAACUGCUAAACUAGAGGACGAGAGAGGUCACUGGAAUUCCUAGUGUAGGAGUGAAAUCCGUAGAUAUUAGGAGGAACACCAAUGGCGUAGGCAGGUGACUGGCUCGUUCCUGACGCUCAGGCACGAAAGCGUGGGAGCAAACGGGAUUAGAUACCCCGGUAGUCCACGCCGUAAACGAUGGAUGCUA